GUAUCUAUCGCUUAGAGGUCAAUAGCGAUGAGCUCAUGACUCAUUAUUAUAUAUCAGUAGUUCGAAUCUACUUAGAUACA
This 80-nucleotide transfer RNA is filed under the name Babesia ovis. It matches the Rfam family "tRNA". Rfam says of the family: Transfer RNA (tRNA) molecules are approximately 80 nucleotides in length. Their secondary structure includes four short double-helical elements and three loops (D, anti-codon, and T loops). The record is from Rfam by way of RNAcentral. Lineage: Eukaryota; Apicomplexa; Aconoidasida; Piroplasmida; Babesiidae.